This 440-nucleotide ribosomal RNA is filed under the name uncultured bacterium. RNAcentral's name for it is "partial 16S ribosomal RNA". It matches the Rfam family "Bacterial small subunit ribosomal RNA", at positions 338 to 795 of the family's 1533-position model. The record is from RNAcentral.
CCUACGGGAGGCAGCAGUGGGGAAUAUUGCACAAUGGGGGGAACCCUGAUGCAGCAACGCCGCGUGGGUGAAGAAGUACUCCGGUAUGUAAAGCCCUGUCAGCAGGGAAGAAAAUGACGGUACCUGACCAAGAAGCCCCGGCUAACUACGUGCCAGCAGCCGCUGUAAUACGUAGGGGGCAAGCGUUAUCCGGAUUCACUGGGUGUAAAGGGAGCGUAGACGGCCGUGCAAGCCAGGAGUGAAAGCCCGGGGCCCAACCCCGGGACUGCUCUUGGAACUGUGCGGCUGGAGUGCGGGAGGGGCAGGCGGAAGUCCUGGUGUAGUGGUGAAAUGCGUAGAUAUCAGGAGGAACACCGGCGGGGAAGGCGGCCUGCUGGACCGCGACUGACGUUGAGGCUCGAAAGCGUGGGGAGCGAACAGGAUUAGAUACCCCUGUAGUC